This 253-nucleotide ribosomal RNA is filed under the name uncultured bacterium. RNAcentral's name for it is "partial 16S ribosomal RNA". It matches the Rfam family "Bacterial small subunit ribosomal RNA", at positions 524 to 776 of the family's 1533-position model. The record is from RNAcentral.
UACGGAGGGGGCUAGCGUUGUUCGGAAUUACUGGGCGUAAAGCGCGCGUAGGCGGCUUUGUAAGUUAGAGGUGAAAGCCCGGAGCUCAACUCCGGAACUGCCUUUAAGACUGCUUCGCUAGAAUUGUGGAGAGGUGAGUGGAAUUCCGAGUGUAGAGGUGAAAUUCGUAGAUAUUCGGAAGAACACCAGUGGCGAAGGCGACUCACUGGACACAUAUUGACGCUGAGGUGCGAAAGCGUGGGGAGCAAACAGG